Molecule: long non-coding RNA, 1106 nt
Organism: Balaenoptera ricei (Rice's whale)
Lineage: Eukaryota; Metazoa; Chordata; Mammalia; Artiodactyla; Balaenopteridae
Exons: 4
Source: RefSeq, a predicted model, not a curated record
UACAGCAUGAGCUGGCACUCUAGCUGUACCCACUGGUGUCUUGCUUACACUGAAUCCUGGGACCGUCUGUCUAGCCAGCCAUGUCUGAGGAAGGGUGUUUGUGUUUCUUGCAGAAGAACAGCUUUUAAAGGCCUGGGAGCCUGCACGGUGAGAGUGCUGACACUGCCAGUUUGGGCCGGUAGCCGGAUGUGGGCCACACGCAGGUGAACUGGAUUGAAGGAGGGCUGAGUCAUUGACAUGGUAGAUCAGUUCUCUCAUUUGAACAGCAGGGUUUUUACAGCCUGCUUUGUCAGGAAAAACAUUCCUGAGACUAUCGCUUUUUGUUUAAAACAGAAAUCAUUGUGUUGAAUGCUUCUGAUUUGGCUGUAGAGCAAGCAAGCACAUGCCCUCCAGAAAUAUCAAGAAAGGAGAAGCUUACCGCAUGGCAAACUGCCUCCACUUCUCAUCCAAAAUAGAACUCUGGCUGAGAAACCUUGGCUACUGGCUUCUGAACCAUCUUGCUUGGCGUUGGCAUCUCUGUGACCUCCCAGGAUGGGUCUUGGCCUUACCAUCCCUUUGCCAUCCUGGCCCACCACUCCCAACUUUAAUCACAGACUCAGACAGUUGCCUGAUCUCUAGAUUCUGGCAACAGCCUGCCUACUUGUUCUUCUUGCCCUCACCAAACUCACUGACCAAGCACAUCACACGAGAAGAGGAGCUUCCCUGGUGGUGCAGUGGUUAAGAAUCUGCCUGCCAAUGCAGGGGACACGGGUUCGAGCCCUGGUCCAGGAAGAUCCCACAUGCAGCGGAGCAACUAAGCCCGUGUGCCAUGAGUGCUGAAGCCCAUGCGCCUAAAGCCCGUGUUCUGCAACAAGAGAAGCCACCACAAUGAGAAGCCCACGCACCACAACGAAGCCCCAACGCCGCAACUAGAGAAAGCCCGCGUGCAGCAACAAAGACCCAACGGAGCCAAAAAUAAAUAAAUAAAAUUUUAAAAGUAAAAUAAAUCAUUUAAUAGAUGAUUCUGUAGCACCUGGUGUGUGCCAGACCAUUGUGCCAGGUGCAGACAUACUCCCUUCAACAGGGAGCUCAGGGUCUAGUGAAGGAAACAGGCAAAUAAAGAGAUA